Pungitius pungitius (ninespine stickleback) is the source of this 1187-nucleotide long non-coding RNA. RefSeq lists it as uncharacterized. The transcript has 4 exons. NCBI's taxonomy places the organism in Eukaryota, Metazoa, Chordata, Actinopteri, Perciformes, Gasterosteidae. The record is from RefSeq and is a predicted model, not a curated record.
UAAGAGCUACACGCACGGGCUACGGAGGGGGAGAGCGCAUGAGGAAGUUGUGUUGUUGUUGUGAUGACGGAGUGGAUGUAGCGGCCGGAGAAUUGUCUGUACUGUAACUUUGUUACUCAGUGUUAGAUUAAUAAAUCCUCAAAGAAAGUAAAGCGGACUUUUAUUCACCAACCCCGGGACGAAGGGAAUUAACCCCAAAGUUUACUUAGCCGACAGUACUUUGGCCCUGGAGCAGACAGCAACGCCUCCCCCUGCAAACUCCGACUACGGUCAGAGACGGACCGGCAGGAAAGCGUGCAGCCGGGCGCAGCUAAAUGACACGUAAUGUAUUAUGGCCCGUGCAAAGUCAUGCCACCAGUCUGAGGACAUCACUGGGAAUGGCACAUGGGACACGUGGCUUUCAACUCCAGCGAGGUGGGCUUCACCGCGGGCAAUCGUGGCAAAGACCCAAGUCGACUGGACCACAGCGGAAAAUGAUCCUUCCAGAGAAGAAGUUAUUUACUUCUACAACGAAUGGAAGAGUUACAACUUCCAGAUGACAGCUCGCCGCUCAUCCUUCUGGGCAACUUGAACAUCCGACAGAACUUAUGUGACCCUACUGCGUUUAUUUUCUCCUUUAGCUCUCAUUUAAGUAUUAAAAUUCGCUGUAUUUUUGCAAGAGAGGCACCAAUCCUAUUUGAGUGACGUUUCGAUUGUGAAAUUGUAUUGGACCAUAUAGGUCAUCUGCAGAGCGUUGGCCCCUGGCGCAGUAAACCAGGGUUUGAUUCUUGGCAUGCACAAGACUCCUCAUGUGACUUAAAAUGAAUCCAGAAUGCAAUAUUUGUUCAGUAUGCAAGGGCAGUGAUUUAUUUAGUCAUGUUUGGUCAUGUUUUGGUUUUUUUACAUGACAAUAUGGUUUGGUACAUGCUGAGUUAAUGAAUAUACAUUCUAAAGUGCAAUGUCCAUAUGUGAAUAAGAGUUGUAUACGUUUAUCAUAGUCAACAUGGUGUGGAAAUAUCCCUUAUGUAGUUGGUCAAUGGGAACUAUAGUAGGCCGUAAUAACAGCUAAGGUAAUUACAGGUGGAUAUUUCUGUGAAUUAACCUUAAAUGAGACUGCAUCUAUGAUAUCUAAGAUAUACAGGACAAGACAAAUGCACUGGAUGUGUAUAUGUGUUGAAUCAAUUAUACAGACGCAAACUGGAGAACGA